Ceratitis capitata (Mediterranean fruit fly) is the source of this 991-nucleotide long non-coding RNA. RefSeq lists it as uncharacterized. The record is from RefSeq and is a predicted model, not a curated record. NCBI's taxonomy places the organism in Eukaryota, Metazoa, Arthropoda, Insecta, Diptera, Tephritidae. The transcript has 3 exons.
CAAUGGAAGAUUUGAAAGCAACUAACUCGGAGCUCGAAGCGUAUUGUAUUAGAAAGCGUUGCACAGGUUUAAGUGUGUAAAUAUUGAGCGGGUGUUUGCCAUGCAUCCGCUGAUAAGAUAAACAAAACCACUUAAACCACAAUGUGACACAAGCUCAUCAAAAUGUGGCAUAUAAACAUAUCAGGCACUUUUGGGAUGAUAAUGUCGUUUUAUUGCGUGGUCAUAAAUACACAAGUAUGUAUUUAAUUGCAAUAGUACAUUUAAAAAUCCACUAUCAACGCAGAGAAUACAUUUAAUGCCCACAACUGCUUUUUGGGGGGUGCCAUUACGCACCUGCCCUGACGUAAACAAAUCAUUUCUAAGAGCUAAGCGAUAACAAGACGUAAUUUGAAGUCAAAAAGUCAGCACCAACAGUCAUUACUCAAUUUAACACCUCAAGUGCUGUUAGCUGCCGGCCACUUUGAGAUGGAUACCAAUACAUUUAUACAUGAGAUUGCAUAUAUGUAUGUCUCUAUAUAUUCAAAUAAGUACACUUAUAAUAAAGUGGACAAAUGUUGAAACUGAUAAGCUGCGCUAAUAGAAGCACAUAGUACCUAAUUAAAACAUGUAAUUUCUACAUAGCUAUGAAGACCAAAAGAGAGAGAAAGAGUAAACAGUACCCACGGUGCUAAGUUACUGAUAAGGCAGCAUCUUCGAUCGCAGCUAUGGCCGCACAUACUAACAACAGGCAUAUUUUAAGGUAUCUUGGAAAUUACUGAAAAGGCUGAAUUUCUAUCUCGUGAUGAUUGUAGGAACAUGUAAAAAUGCAACUAACAGCCAAUCGCGGAAAGCACAUCGAUUGCGGAGAUAAAAUACAAUGAAAAGGCUAACUAGGAUAAAGAGCAACACUUGCGGAGCACUUCCCAUAAAAUACGUAUCACUAAAUUAUUGUAUGUCAACGUGAAGUGUAGCGAACAAAACUAUUGUUUCAAUAAAUAUUUUAUACAAUUGU